AUGCCGAGAAGGUGGCAGGUCUGGGGCCGGCCCGACGGCAGCCAAGUCUGGAUCCCCGCCCCCGACCCCGACGCGCCGCCGCCGCCCGCCGCGGGGAUAGCCGCCGCUUCAUUCGAGGACGCGCCGGUCAAAGGCGGGGGUGCUGCCGACGGAUGCCGCGUCGAGUCCAUGGCCGACCUCCUCGUCCAAGCGCGGAACAAGCUGCUCGAAGGUGAUGGGAUGGCCGGAGCAACCGGGGAUGCAGGAAAAGGUGAGCUGUUCUGCACUGGAUCGGGGAGACCAGUGUCUCUCAGCGAGAGGGCUAUAAGGAGGGCCAGGGCGUUGGUCGGGGAGGAUGUGGAGAGGGCUGGUAUUAAGAGAAAGCAAUCAUUUGGCGAUUUACCUGAUGUAGAGGGCGGAUUGAGAGAAAUGGACGCCCCAUUUAGAGGUGGAGUGCAAAACACCACCAUGCCCCCAUUGUUCCAAACUGGAUCAGGAAAAGCGGCCUUGCUGGGCAGGAACUCAAUCCAAAAGGCAAGAGUUGUUUUAGAAGGUGUGGACGGCAUGGAACAGUUUCCGUUGUUCCAAACUGGUUCAGGAAGAGUUGUAUCAGUCAGUUCAGCAUCUGUUCAGAAAGCUAAGUCUGUGUUGAAGGAUAAUAAUACAAGCGAGGAAAAUAUGGAGAGUUUUGGUAGGCCUAACCAGCCUAUGAUGUUCCAAACUGGUUCAGGAAGACCAGUCACGAUCAGUGAAAGAUCCAUUGAGAGAUCUAGAGCUGCGGUGAAUAAGGGAGAUGCGGAAAAGAGUGGACAUUGGGAUACUGGUUGCCAGUUCCCAAUGUUCCAAACAGGAUUAGGGAAGCCUGUUGCUGUGAGCUGGAGCGCAGUUCAGAAGGCAAGGGCAGUAUUGGAGGAAGAAAAAAUUAAAACAACUGGACAUGGAGAUAGCAGUGUUUAUGCCACAACUCUUCAAAGUGAAACGCCAAGGUCUGUUUUGAUGAGUAGCAGUUUGAUCAUGACUGAUAGAAGUGUUACACCAAAUGGAGAUAGUGCAAUGCAAGUCACUCGAAUGGAGAAAAAUCAUGAGGGUGGCAACCACUUGCCGUUGUUUCAAACUGGGUUAGGGAGGUCAAUUGCUAUAAGUAAGAGCUCAGUUAAGAGGGCAACUGCAGUUCUAGAGCCAAGGAAUAUUGCAAAGGAAUUGGAAGAUGAAGCUCAUUUAGAUGGUGGCCAUGACACUUCCAUGUUCAAAACUGGAUUAGGAAGGUCUAUCUUGGCAAGUGAUGGCUGUAGAAAUGAAUUGUGUAUCUUAGAGGCUGAAGAAGCAGUCAAAAGUGUAAACAAUUGCAAUGGAGAAGCCUUUGUUGAAGAGGCAGCGUUCCAAGCUGGAAUACAAAAGUUUGUACCCCAAAAUAGAAGUUCAAGUCAUAAGGCCAGUAUGCUUUUGGAGCAACGAAACUUCAUGGAGAAAGGAUACGAAGACUGUGGAAGUCAACUGCCAAUGUUUCAAACCGGAUCUGGAAAGUCAGUCUUGAUUAGUGAAACCUCAGUGCAGAAAGCAAAGGUUGUUCUGGAGGAAGAAGUCAAAAUAAACAGAGAUAAUCAUAAUCUCCUUAACUUGGACAAAAAUAUUCCUGUCUUUGCUUCACCUCUCAAGACAAGCUGUGCAAAAACAGUUAAUAUAUCUUCAGCUGGUGUAUCUCGAGCUGCUACUUUGUUGGGCUUGGAGGAGAAUACCCUUUCAACACAAUUUUUUGGACAUGUGGGCGAUAAGCUAGGCACUAAAAUAAAUUUUGAGCGGAAAAAUCCAGAACAGAGGCUUGAUCUUGCAUCUUGUUCAACAGAAAACCAAGUGCAUAAGGAACCACACCGGCCAUUUGAACUUUCUAAUAACACAGUUUCUGAUUCUGGUGAGCAUUCUAUCAGAUUCAGUACCGCGGGAGGCAGAUCAGUGGCUAUUUCUAGUGAUGCACUUCAACGCGCGAGAAGCCUUCUCGGCGAAUCUGAUCUUGUGGUUUCAACAAAUAAUUUAGUAGGCCGCCCUUUGGCAUCUGCAUGUAAUGUUGAGAUGCCAAAUUCAACCGUUGCCCCAAAAGGUGGACCUGAUUUAUCAAAAAUAAGUAGGGUCAAUGGGAAAACCGAAGUUGCAACAUUUUCCCACCAGACAAUGUCUGGUAGGAAGCACACCGGAUCCUCUAAAAAUGCUGCACCUGCUAUCCCGGCGACUAACAAACCACCCAAUAUGUUUCAUGUUGGGAGUCGUUCAAUCAGUGAAAUUCCAAAGGUCCCGAAGCCCUCUUCCAUGUGUUUAUCUGAAACUGACAGUGCAAAUGACACUAAAAAUAAGGCCCAGCGACUCCAUAUGCCAGCUGGAGCGUUGGUUGACAUUAGUAACAUCAUGGGUACACAUUCUGGAAAUAUUGACCAUGCUGUUAAUGAGAAGAGAAGAAGUGGGGGAAGCAACUCUGCAUCUUCGUUUAAACGCCCCCGCUCAUCCAGGUCCUUUGAUUUGCAUCCCUGUUAG
RNAcentral lists this ribosomal RNA (2502 nucleotides) under Triticum aestivum (bread wheat). RNAcentral's name for it is "partial small subunit ribosomal RNA". The record is from RNAcentral. Lineage: Eukaryota; Viridiplantae; Streptophyta; Magnoliopsida; Poales; Poaceae.